GUGGGCUCUCUCUUUCUCCCUGCGGGUUUAAGUUGAUGGUCGAUGGGGUUUGUUUAAAUUAAGCACUGCACAAUGAUGCCCUUAUUGUGGAUCUUUGGUAUUCCUGCAGCAGAAGGAGCGAGUAGCAACGAACACUGUAACCUUGUUCUCUGGAGACGACAUGGGCACGAGGAAGAGGAGAAAGAAAUAUGACAAAUGUUUUGAAGGUUCAUAAUAAGAAUCUGUGGUUCUGUGGUUGCUCUUCAUCAUAACGUCUGUGUUACUUGCUUAACACAGUCCUAAUCACGUAGUUGCAACGCUUCGUUUUGGAUCUGAGGAGUUCUGCGCUGUAAUGUACGCUACCCUUUUUAACAAGUUAAAAAUGUAACAGCUUUUGAAUUAAACUCUUGCUGAACUGUGUAGCUUAGUUCAAUAAAGAUGUUGAAAGUACUUAAACACGUGUAUGUCUAGAUCUGACAGUAGGGUUUUUAUGGGAAAUACACGAUCGGAGACUAAGCAGUGUCCUUAUUUUGCUGGUAGAGGUGAUAGGUGUAAAACACAUCUGUCAGGAGGAAAAAAUAGAAUAUACCUGCUUUCAUAUUUUUUGGAAUGGUCCAUUGAGAGAUACUUGAACACAAAGGUCUGAUGCUGUUCUCCAUUAGUGUCUGGUGUCUGUUUGCCAGGGUGAUGCUAAAAGUGAUCUACGCAGGCAGUGCCCUUCUCUCCAUUGUGGCUCUGGCAAAGUCGCAGUCUGUCCUGAUACCGUCUAGAUCCACUUGCAGAAUGUGUUGUAGCAAGAGCUACGGGGUAAAAGGAACACGAAUUGAGUAACAGGGAGAACAGUAAGGGUAUUGUGCAGUUGCAGGAUUUUGCAACGUGUUUCUUUCCUUAAAACUUCAAACUGUGCAAUAAGGGCUGCUGAACUUAGCUUACACUUCUUCCUCCUCCUUAACUCUCAUUAAUUUUUUAUUUUUUGCGGGGUUUGAUAUAGGUAUAUAUACUUAUAUUUGCCUGGAAUAGGUGGAAUUAAUUUCUUGGACCCUUUAAUAAAGUUCUGAAUGUAAUGAACAGUUUGCUUGUAUAUUUAAGUAGAAAGAAAAAG
Long non-coding RNA from Cygnus atratus (black swan), 1081 nucleotides. RefSeq lists it as uncharacterized. Lineage: Eukaryota; Metazoa; Chordata; Aves; Anseriformes; Anatidae. The transcript is spliced from 3 exons. The record is from RefSeq and is a predicted model, not a curated record.